GGAGGUACCGGCAGCCUGUUCCGGGGAGUGCCCCUGCCCUGCUUCCUGUAACUGUUCGGACACCCUCGAACCUGUCUGUAGUACCAGAGGACAAAACUACACCAAUGCAUGCGAGGCAGCGUGCGAUGCGGCCACCAUUGCCUGUAAUGGUACUUGUCCUUGCUCAGAGCCUUGUGCGUGUCAAUGGAGUUUGCUCCCGUCUGCGGCACCAACAAUGUGACGUGCUCCAACAAAUGUCAAGCCAAAUGUCUGAACGUGAGCGUGGCGUGUCAGAACGAGUGUCCGUGCUGUGACUGUGAGGGGUACCCGGACUUUCCUGUCUGUGGUUCGGACGGUCUCGUCUAUCUCAAUCCCUGCAAACUGGAGUGUGCGGGUGUGAGGCUGGCAUGUUUUGGAUUUUGCCCCUGCUCUGAAGGAACAGAACGCCGGAAAUCAAGCAGUUGUCCAGUCAAGUAAGGACCUAGAGCUUCAGUCCGACAGAGACCGGUCAUUACUCUCGUUGAUCAAUUCCCUUUGGCACAAUAUUCCAAAAUCUGAAAUUGACCAGUAAAGACAUAGUCACUAGAUACACUGAUAAAUAUUUUUGCUUGACAUCUAUUAUACCUAAAGAAAAUACAUUGUAUAAAAUAUUUAGUACUUUUCAAGGAGUAUUCCCCUUCAUCAAAUAAUGAACACUGUAAGGAAUGCAGACCUAAUUAGCCUUCAAAGACAGCUAGGAUUAUCUUUAUUGUUUUCAAUUUCAUCAUUUAUUCAUAGUAAGGAAAGAAAGAAUUCAUAAUUUGCUUGAAUGACAUUAAAAAUAAACAUGCAUUUGCUAUAAAUGUAUUUAACUGUAUAUAUAAUUUUGAAAAUUGUUACCGACACUGUAGAAGAAGCGAAAGUCAAAAUGAAGCAAGAAAGUAUUUUAUUUAGAGAAUUUUAGUUUUCAUUUCUUUUAUAUUGAGUAAAUGUUUUUGACGUUCCCUUCAAAUUUUCCAUUUCUAUAUAAUAAUCAGCAUUUAAAUAAACACUGUGUAUGUAUUAAACUUUGUAAUAUAAAUUGACAUCAAUAAAGCAUUUAUCAAAUUA
Molecule: long non-coding RNA, 1068 nt
Organism: Saccostrea cuccullata (small rock oyster)
Lineage: Eukaryota; Metazoa; Mollusca; Bivalvia; Ostreida; Ostreidae
Exons: 4
Source: RefSeq, a predicted model, not a curated record